Myotis brandtii (Brandt's bat) is the source of this 75-nucleotide non-coding RNA. The record is from Rfam. NCBI's taxonomy places the organism in Eukaryota, Metazoa, Chordata, Mammalia, Chiroptera, Vespertilionidae.
GGUGGUUCUCAGGUGACACACCCCGGAAUCGGGCUCCCUCCUCUCUGGUUCCGGGUACACCACCCAAGAACUGCA